GUGGUGACAGUAUGUGUUUACUUGUUUCCGAUGCCUUUUGUGUAACGAUUGACUUAAGUUUAUGACCAACAGUUCAACAUUAGUGUUUGUGCAGCUGCAGGGAUGCUGAAAUUUUUUGAUGGAUGCCUAAAGUGAUAGAUUUGAUGCCACCUCAAGUGAGUAAUGGUAUUUGCUGAGUUAUAAGGAAUAGCUUUAACAAGGCACUGGAUCAAAAUGAUAUCUUAAUUUUCCCCGCAGCUCCUUCAGCUGCUUAUAUCAUCGAUUUCUGUCUCAUACCUCUGAUUAUAUAUUAACAAGACAAAUAGAGUUUGGUUCGUGUUUUGAUUACUGCUAUUGAACUUCAUCAAUAUGAUGCAUUCGUCAUCAUCUUGUCACGAAGCUAAGUCAUGGAGUUAGUAAUGGGCAAGGACCUAGUAUUAGAUGGUCAUGGGCAUGGAACUCAUCAUGGAGAUGCAUAGUCUUAAUUAUAGUGUUUAUCAAUGAAGAAUGUAUACUUAGAUAUUUAAUUUUGAUGGCUUGAGUUAAGAUUCAAUAGCAUACUGGCAAGUCAUAUGCACAAUUAGGAAUCCACAACUUGUGUUGUCAUGUUGAGCUUUUGCUUUAUGUGAAGGUUCUGGUGAUCAUUUUGAUAUGAAAGUGAUGUAUCAAUGAAGAAUGUAUA
Molecule: long non-coding RNA, 661 nt
Organism: Trifolium pratense (red clover)
Lineage: Eukaryota; Viridiplantae; Streptophyta; Magnoliopsida; Fabales; Fabaceae
Exons: 3
Source: RefSeq, a predicted model, not a curated record